UACGUAGGUGGCAAGCGUUGUUCGGAAUUACUGGGCGUAAAGCGCGCGUAGGCGGCUCUUCAAGUCAGGCGUGAAAGCCCCGGGCUUAACUCGGGAACUGCGCUUGAUACUGUCGAGCUAGAGUGUGGAAGGGGCGAUUGGAAUUCCGUGUGUAGCGGUGAAAUGCGUAGAUAUACGGAGGAACACCAGAGGCGAAGGCGGAUCGCUGGGCCAACACUGACGCUGAUGUGCGAAAGCUAGGGGAGCAAACAGG
Molecule: ribosomal RNA, 253 nt
Filed under: uncultured bacterium
Lineage: Bacteria
Description: partial 16S ribosomal RNA
Rfam family: Bacterial small subunit ribosomal RNA
Source: RNAcentral